UGAGCAUUAACCAAUUGGGUUGAUGCGCUAUCGAACAUAAGACAAUCGCUGGUUAAUAGUGGCGUAAAAUACUGCAGCGUUUAUUUCGCAAAGCAGAAAUAUCAUUAUAGUAUUAUUGCUUGCUGUAGUUCAGCAAGCACACAAAUUCUAUGACGGGAAGCAAAUAGUUAUCGGCGAUCAUUCAUGUGCGAAGAUUAAUACUUAUUCUUCUUACGCAAGUUCCACGCUCUCAGAAAACCUUUCAAGAAUGGCUACAAGACUCUCGUUCUGUGGCCAGAUUCUAAAAUUGCUCACAAGAAUAAGUUGUGUCAGACAAUGAAGCACUGCUGUAUCAUUCUUUGUUAGAAGACCAGUUAUGAUUGUUGGGAAUGGAACCGUAAGAAUUCUAAGUUAUAAGAUGACCGUGAUCGCACUUCGGCCAGGCGAAGAUUGAAUUACUAAUGUUGCAAUCUCAGGUAUCAAAAUUCCUAAGAUUUAAACGAAAUAAAUGGGAAGAUGCCGUGAUCAAAUCCCAUUCUGAUUGUAGAAAUAGCUCUGCUUUGCUGUAUACAGACAUGUGAAACCACUGUAAUCUGGGUAUUUAAGAUUGUAUCCAGCUAUAAUACGAGAGUUGUUCAAUAAAGAAUGAUCAUAA
Long non-coding RNA from Schistocerca piceifrons (Central American locust), 634 nucleotides. RefSeq lists it as uncharacterized. The transcript has 2 exons. NCBI's taxonomy places the organism in Eukaryota, Metazoa, Arthropoda, Insecta, Orthoptera, Acrididae. The record is from RefSeq and is a predicted model, not a curated record.